CCUACGGGGGGCUGCAGUGAGGAAUAUUGGUCAAUGGACGGAAGUCUGAACCAGCCAUGCCGCGUGCAGGAAGACGGCUCUAUGAGUUGUAAACUGCUUUUGUACAAGGGUAAACCUGAAUACGUGUAUUCUGCUGACAGUACUGUACGAAUAAGGAUCGGCUAACUCCGUGCCAGCAGCCGCGGUAAUACGGAGGAUCCAAGCGUUAUCCGGAUUUAUUGGGUUUAAAGGGUGCGUAGGCGGAUUGAUUAGGUAGAGGGGAAAAGUCCGAGCUUAAAACGGGGACUGCCUCUAAUACUGUUGAUCUAGAGAGUAGAUGCGGUAGGCGGAAUGUAUGGUGUAGCGGUGAAAUGCUUAGAGAUCAUACAGAACACCGAUGGCGAAGGCAGCUUACCAACCUAUAUCUGACGUUGAGGCACGAAAGCGUGGGGAGCAAACAGGAUUAGAUACCCUUGUAGUC
This 460-nucleotide ribosomal RNA is filed under the name uncultured bacterium. Its description in RNAcentral is "partial 16S ribosomal RNA". It matches the Rfam family "Bacterial small subunit ribosomal RNA", at positions 338 to 795 of the family's 1533-position model. The record is from RNAcentral.